This 473-nucleotide ribosomal RNA is filed under the name uncultured bacterium. Its description in RNAcentral is "partial 16S ribosomal RNA". It matches the Rfam family "Bacterial small subunit ribosomal RNA", at positions 28 to 507 of the family's 1533-position model. The record is from RNAcentral.
GAUGAACGCUAGCGGCAGGCCUAAUACAUGCAAGUCGAACGGGUGGUCGCAACUCCACUAGUGGCGUACGGGUGCGUAACGCGUAAUCAACCUGCCCCGACCUGGCGUAUAGCUUGCCGUAACUCGGAUUAAUACCGCAUAUUCCCGCAUCCUGGCAUCAGCCAACGGGGAAAGAUUUAUUGGUUCGGGCUGGGGUUGCGUGACAUUCGCUAGUUGGCGGGGUAAGGGGGCACCAGGGCGACGAUGUCUAGGGGACCUGAGAGGGUGGGCCCGCACACGGGCACGGAGACACGGGGCAGACUACAACGCGAAGAAGCAGUAGGGAGUAAUGAGCGAGGAGCGAGGGCCUGAGCCAGCCAUGCCGAGGGCCGGAUGAAGGCCGUCUGAGGUGUAAACGGCUUUUCUCAGGGAAGAAAAAGACCUAGCGAGGGACACUGACGGUACCGGAGGAAGAAGCACCGGCUAACUCCGUG